UACGUAGGGUGCAAGCGUUAAUCGGAAUUACUGGGCGUAAAGCGUGCGCAGGCGGUGAUGUAAGACAGAUGUGAAAUCCCCGGGCUCAACCUGGGAACUGCAUUUGUGACUGCAUCGCUGGAGUGCGGCAGAGGGGGAUGGAAUUCCGCGUGUAGCAGUGAAAUGCGUUGAUAUCGACCGGAACUCCGGUGGCGAAGGCGAGGCGCUGGACCCUUUCUGACGCUGAGGCGCGAAAGCCAGGGGAGCAAACGGG
This 253-nucleotide ribosomal RNA is filed under the name uncultured bacterium. RNAcentral's name for it is "partial 16S ribosomal RNA". It matches the Rfam family "Bacterial small subunit ribosomal RNA", at positions 524 to 776 of the family's 1533-position model. The record is from RNAcentral.